UACGUAGGGGGCUAGCGUUGCUCGGAAUCACUGGGCGUAAAGCGCACGUAGGCGGGUCUUUAAGGCAGGGGUGAAAUCCUGGAGCUCAACUCCAGAACUGCCUUUGAUACUGAGGAUCUCGAGUCCGGGAGAGGUGAGUGGAACUCCGAGUGUAGAGGUGAAAUUCGUAGAUAUUCGGAAGAACACCAGUGGCGAAGGCGGCUCACUGGCCCGGUACUGACGCUGAGGUGCGAAAGCGUGGGGAGCAAACAGG
Molecule: ribosomal RNA, 253 nt
Filed under: uncultured bacterium
Lineage: Bacteria
Description: partial 16S ribosomal RNA
Rfam family: Bacterial small subunit ribosomal RNA
Source: RNAcentral